CUGUGCAGCGCCCACUUCGUUUCUGGGUCACCGUCCAUGGAUUGUGAUAGUCCAGAUUUUGUUCCAUCCGUUUUUUCACACAGCAGCAACUGAGACAUCUCGGGAAAGGUGGCAAGAUAUGAAAGAAAGAGAAUAAGAGAUGAAGAUAAGGCCCCUGCUACCUGCCCCACAAGCCAGCCUGAAGCAGAUACUGCAGAUUCUUCUGAAGAUGAAUGUAAGUUUGUGUCCAGAAAAGAGAUGCACCAACUCAACCUGCAGUACAACCAGCUCCGUGAUGAUUAUGAAGCUCUGAAAAGAGAACUGUAUGCCACACAGGAAGAAAAUAAACAUCUGAAGGAGCAACUGAAGCAGUCCAAGUUUGGGUUUGAUUCCAUAAAAGACACAAAUGCUAAAAUAUUUUUUUUUACUGGUUUACAAUCAUUACAAAUGGUUAUGUGGCUGCUGGAUAUUGUAAAAAGAAGCACACUUGUGCUUAAGGGUGGGUUAAGUUGGGAGAACCACCUCCUUUUGGUUCUAAUGAAAGUAAGACUUGGACUCACCAACAGAGACCUUGCCUACAGAUUUGGGCUUCCAUUCUCAACUGUAUCAAAAAUACUAAGAGACUGGAUACCCAUGUUGUCCUCAAUAGUGAAACCUUUGAUAAUGUGGCCUAGUAAGGAUGCAGUGAGAGCAAACAUGCCAAAGUGUUUUAAACCCAAAUUUAGGAAUUGUCGAUGUAGACUGUACUGAAAUCUUUAUAGAAAGAACACACAAUCUUAAAGCAAGGGCUGAAACCUGGUCAAAUUAUAAGCACCAAAACACAAUGAAAUAUCUAAUAGGAAUCACACCAGCAGGAGCUAUAUCUUUUUUGUCUAGUGGGUGGGGAGGUCGUGCCUCUGACAAGGUAAUAACUUUAGAUUCUGCCUUUUUGGGUAAACUUGAGCAUGGUGACGAGA
Gadus macrocephalus (Pacific cod) is the source of this 935-nucleotide long non-coding RNA. RefSeq lists it as uncharacterized. Lineage: Eukaryota; Metazoa; Chordata; Actinopteri; Gadiformes; Gadidae. The transcript is spliced from 4 exons. The record is from RefSeq and is a predicted model, not a curated record.